GGACUGAACGCUGGUUGGAGUGCCUAACACAUGCAAGUCGAGCGAUUCUUUAUGAAGUACUUGUACUACAUAAAGAGUAGCGGCGGACGGGUGAGUAACGCGUGGGUAACCUGCCCUAAACAAUGGGAUAGCCCUCCGAAAGGAGGAGUAAUACCAUAUAACACAUUUUUAAGGCAUCUUAAAAAUGUCAAAGAUUUAUCGGUUUAGGAUGGACCCGCGUCUGAUUAGCUAGUUGGUAAGGUAAAAGCUUACCAAGGCGAUGAUCAGUAGCCGACCUGAGAGGGUGAUCGGCCACACUGGAACUGAGACACGGUCCAGACUCCUACGGGAGGCAGCAGUGGGGAACAUUGCACAAUGGGGGAAACCCUGAUGCAGCAACGCCGCGUGAGCGACGAAGGCUUUCGAGUCGUAAAGCUCUGUCCUAAGUGAAGAUAAUGACGGUAACUUAGGAGGAAGCCCCGGCUAACUACGUGCCAGCAGCCGCGGUAAUACGUAGGGGGCAAGCGUUAUCCGAAAUUAUUGGGCGUAAAGGGUGAGUAGGCGGCAAUAUAAGUCAGAGGUGAAAGGCUACGGCUUAACCGUAGUAAGCCUUUGAAACUGUAUAGCUUGAGUAUGGGAGAGGAGAGUGGAAUUCCUAGUGUAGCGGUGAAAUGCGUAGAUAUUAGGAGGAACACCAGUGGCGAAGGCGACUCUCUGGACCAUAACUGACGCUGAGUCACGAAAGCGUGGGGAGCAAACAGGAUUAGAUACCCUGGUAGUCCACGCCGUAAACGAUGAGUGCUAGGUGUUGGGGGUCAAACCUCAGUGCCGCAGCUAACGCAUUAAGCACUCCGCCUGGGGAGUACGAUCGCAAGAUUGAAACUCAAAGGAAUUGACGGGGACCCGCACAAGCAGCGGAGCAUGUGGUUUAAUUCGAAGCAACGCGAAGAACCUUACCUGGACUUGACAUCCCUAUGAAAAUGCCUUAAUCGGCAUGUUCUCUUCGGAGACAAAGGAGACAGGUGGUGCAUGGUUGUCGUCAGCUCGUGUCGUGAGAUGUUGGGUUAAGUCCCGCAACGAGCGCAACCCUUGCCUUUAGUUGCCAACAGGUAAAGCUGGGAACUCUAGAGGGACUGCCGGGGAUAACUCGGAGGAAGGUGGGGAUGACGUCAAAUCAUCAUGCCCCUUAUGUUCAGGGCUACACACGUGCUACAAUGGUCGAUACAAAGGGAAGCGACAGAGCAAUCUCAAGCAAAUCCCAUAAAGUCGAUCCCAGUUCGGAUUGCGGGCUGAACUCGCCCGCAUGAAGUUGGAGUUGCUAGUAAUCGCGAAUCAGAAUGUCGCGGUGAUGCGUUC
Molecule: ribosomal RNA, 1335 nt
Filed under: uncultured bacterium
Lineage: Bacteria
Description: bacterial SSU rRNA
Rfam family: Bacterial small subunit ribosomal RNA
Source: RNAcentral